CACGUGGGCAACCUGCCUGUAAGACUGGGAUAACUUCGGGAAACCGGAGCUAAUACCGGAUAAUGCAUAACCUCUCAUGAGGUUAUGCUGAAAGAUGGUUUCGGCUAUCACUUACAGAUGGGCCCGCGGCGCAUUAGCUAGUUGGUGAGGUAACGGCUCACCAAGGCAACGAUGCGUAGCCGACCUGAGAGGGUGAUCGGCCACACUGGGACUGAGACACGGCCCAGACUCCUACGGGAGGCAGCAGUAGGGAAUCUUCCGCAAUGGACGAAAGUCUGACGGAGCAACGCCGCGUGAGUGAUGAAGGUUUUCGGAUCGUAAAACUCUGUUGUUAGGGAAGAACAAGUGCCGGAGUAACUGCCGGCACCUUGACGGUACCUAACCAGAAAGCCACGGCUAACUACGUGCCAGCAGCCGCGGUAAUACGUAGGUGGCAAGCGUUGUCCGGAAUUAUUGGGCGUAAAGCGCGCGCAGGCGGUCUCUUAAGUCUGAUGUGAAAGCCCACGGCUCAACCGUGGAGGGUCAUUGGAAACUGGGGGACUUGAGUGCAGAAGAGGAAAGUGGAAUUCCACGUGUAGCGGUGAAAUGCGUAGAGAUGUG
RNAcentral lists this ribosomal RNA (600 nucleotides) under Bacillus infantis. RNAcentral's name for it is "bacterial SSU rRNA". It matches the Rfam family "Bacterial small subunit ribosomal RNA", at positions 114 to 700 of the family's 1533-position model. The record is from RNAcentral. Lineage: Bacteria; Bacillati; Bacillota; Bacilli; Caryophanales; Bacillaceae.